CCUACGGGAGGCAGCAGUGAGGAAUAUUGGUCAAUGGGCGUAAGCCUGAACCAGCCAAGUCGCGUGAGGGAUGAAGGUUCUAUGGAUUGUAAACCUCUUUUAUAAGGGAAUAAAGUGCGGGACGUGUCCCGUUUUGUAUGUACCUUAUGAAUAAGGAUCGGCUAACUCCGUGCCAGCAGCCGCGGUAAUACGGAGGAUCCGAGCGUUAUCCGGAUUUAUUGGGUUUAAAGGGUGCGUAGGCGGCCUUUUAAGUCAGCGGUGAAAGUCUGUGGCUCAACCAUAGAAUUGCCGUUGAAACUGGGAGGCUUGAGUGUGUUUGAGGCAGGCGGAAUGCGUGGUGUAGCGGUGAAAUGCUUAGAUAUCACGCAGAACCCCGAUUGCGAAGGCAGCCUGCCAAGCCAUGACUGACGCUGAUGCACGAAAGCGUGGGGAUCAAACAGGAUUAGAUACCCCAGUAGUC
RNAcentral lists this ribosomal RNA (460 nucleotides) under uncultured bacterium. Its description in RNAcentral is "partial 16S ribosomal RNA". It matches the Rfam family "Bacterial small subunit ribosomal RNA", at positions 338 to 795 of the family's 1533-position model. The record is from RNAcentral.